Molecule: non-coding RNA, 488 nt
Organism: Labrus bergylta (ballan wrasse)
Lineage: Eukaryota; Metazoa; Chordata; Actinopteri; Labriformes; Labridae
Source: RefSeq, a predicted model, not a curated record
CUGAGGACUCUCUCAUCAGCAGCACGUUCACAUGUGACAACCAAACCUGCUCUCACGAGGGAGGAGAGCGAGCAGAGAUCAUCACACCUGGUGCUUCUCUGGACGUCUACCUGGAGAACGGUUCAGUCAUCUGUAACCAUAGCAACCAGGUCAGCUCUACAAGGGACAUCCAAAAGAUUGAAGAUCUUUGUGUGAAGCCCGACGCAUCGAAAGGCAGCCAAAAUAAUGUUACACCGAUUGUUGUAGCCAUCGUCUUAUCUCUUGGUGUUGUUUUGGCUAUAAUUUGAAUUCAUCAUCGAAGGAGAAAACAAAGUAAGUUAAGUUUGCAUUUAAACUGAAUUUAAAUGUGAAAUCAGAAAAUCCUUAUUGUUUACAUCAAACUGAAUUGACCCUUUAGAUGAGUACAUUCUUCUCCCCUGUGUUGAUGUUUUUAUUAUCAUUCAAAAGACGUCCCUUAUGAGUGAAUCCUCUUAUCAGGGCGAUCUGAU